AUGCAAAGAAAACGAGUUCAUAUUUAUAAAGUUUUAAUAGUUCAGAAAUCAAUAUUUGGUGGAAUAACCCUGGUUUUUAAUCACAGUUUUUAUGCAUCUUGGCAUGUUCUCCUCCACCAGUCUUACACACCGCUUUUGGAUAACUUUAUGCCUGCACUCCUGGUGCAAAAAUUCAGGCAGUUCAGCUUGGUUUGAUGGCUUGUAAUCAUCCAUCUUCCUCUUGAUUAUAUUCCAGAGGUUUUCAAUUUGGUAAAAUCAUAAAUGUAAGAUGUCUCUUCAUUCUUACAUUUUAGUUGGUCUCUUAUUUAAUUAGUUGGUCUCUGUAUGUUAAAAUUGAAAUGGAGACUUUUAUAGUUAUAUGUGGGACUUUUAUAUUGAAAUUUGGUGACGGCUGCUCUUACCGGCUGCCUCAGUGAAAUGUUAUAAAACCAGCACUCAUGUUAUCAAACAAUCUCAUCUUUACAUUUAAGGUCACUGCAAGACGAUCAUAAAUUUGAGUCGGCUGUAUGUUGUUCAGUAAUACGUAUUAGCUGAAAUUUUGUAAGUGUUCUUUCUGGAAUGGUCUAAAACAGGCGGGUAAACAGGUUUCUGUAAGUUUGAGAAGUAGUUAGUUAGUAACGUUUCUCUGUUUAAAACCUGAGCAGCGGAAACAGUGGCGAGAAGUCUUUAUUUUCUUCAGUAAUAAAUUGUUAAACUCGCGGUUUAAAACCCCGAUAUGGCCUCUGUGAGAGUCCUGACAGCCCUGCGGUGUAACUCCGGUCUCAGGUCCGCGGCGGCUGCUGGUCCUCUGCGGCUGAUCUGCAGCUCCGCUCCACAGCCUGUCCGGGUGCUGUACGAUGGAGAGUGUCCUAUAUGUGUAAAGGAAAUCGAGGUUCUUCGGUUUGUGCAGAAGAACAGGACAGGUAAAGUGGAGUUUGUUGAUAUUUCUGUACCAGAGUACGAUGGUGGGAGGUACAGAGGGGUCAGUUAUGAAGUGGCCAUGAAGGAGAUGACUGUGAUUGACGAGAACGAUGAGGUUCACCGUGGCGUUCCUGCAUUUGCUGUUAUGUACAAAGCUGUGGGUCUGGGCUGGUUGGCCAGGUUAAUCUCUCUGCCUCUCAUCAGGCCUCUGAUGGACCGUGCAUAUGAUGUGUUUGCCAGGAACAGACUGAGGUGGACUGGACGAGAAGAAUGCACAACAGGACAGUGUGAUAAGAGAGACAAAAGAGAACCCCGAUAAAUGAUUUUAAUACAUGUCUAAAUAAAUACACUGCCAGGCCAAAAAAAGUCGCCA
Molecule: long non-coding RNA, 1273 nt
Filed under: Astyanax mexicanus (Mexican tetra)
Lineage: Eukaryota; Metazoa; Chordata; Actinopteri; Characiformes; Acestrorhamphidae
Description: lncRNA (ENSAMXG00005025337.1)
Source: RNAcentral